GGCUCUGGUGGCCUAUAAGUUAGAGCGUCCGCCUCGGAUGCGGGAUGUCGUGGGUUCGAUCGCCAGCCAAGUCA
Molecule: non-coding RNA, 74 nt
Organism: Potamilus streckersoni
Lineage: Eukaryota; Metazoa; Mollusca; Bivalvia; Unionida; Unionidae
Source: the annotation of a GenBank genome assembly